RNAcentral lists this ribosomal RNA (466 nucleotides) under uncultured bacterium. RNAcentral describes it as "partial 16S ribosomal RNA". It matches the Rfam family "Bacterial small subunit ribosomal RNA", at positions 28 to 507 of the family's 1533-position model. The record is from RNAcentral.
GAUGAACGCUGGCGGCGUGCUUAACACAUGCAAGUCGAACGAUGAAGCCCAGCUUGCUGGGUGGUUUAGUGGCGAACGGGUGAGUAACACGUGAGUAACCUGCCCUUAACUCUGGGAUAAGCCUGGGAAACUGGGUCUAAUACCGGAUAGGAGCGUCCACCGCAUGGUGGGUGUUGGAAAGAUUUAUCGGUUUUGGAUGGACUCGCGACCUAUCCGCUUGUUGGUGGGGUAAUGGCUCACCAAGGCGACGACGGGUAGCCGGCCUGGGAGGGUGACCGGCCACACUGGGACUGAGAGACGGCCCAGACUCCUACGGGAGGCAGCAGUGGGGAAUAUUGCACAAUGGGCGAAAGCCUGAUGCAGCGACGCCGCGUGAGGGAAGACGGCCUUCGGGGUGUAAACCUCUUUCAGUAGGGAAGAAGCGAAAGUGACGGUACCUGCAGAAGAAGCACCGGCUAACUACGUG